RNAcentral lists this ribosomal RNA (253 nucleotides) under uncultured bacterium. RNAcentral describes it as "partial 16S ribosomal RNA". It matches the Rfam family "Bacterial small subunit ribosomal RNA", at positions 524 to 776 of the family's 1533-position model. The record is from RNAcentral.
UACGUAGGGACCAAGCGUUGUUCGGAUAUACUGGGCGUAAAGCGCACGUAGGCGGAUCGUUAAGUCGGGGGUGAAAUCCUGGAGCUCAACUCCAGAACUGCCUUCGAUACUGGCGAUCUUGAGUCCGGAAGAGGUGAGUGGAACUCCUAGUGUAGAGGUGGAAUUCGUAGAUAUUCGGAAGAACACCAGUGGCGAAGGCGGCUCACUGGACUGGUAUUGACGCUGAGGUACGAAAGCGUGGGGAGCAAACAGG